Long non-coding RNA from Bactrocera tryoni, 935 nucleotides. RefSeq lists it as uncharacterized. NCBI's taxonomy places the organism in Eukaryota, Metazoa, Arthropoda, Insecta, Diptera, Tephritidae. The record is from RefSeq and is a predicted model, not a curated record. The transcript is spliced from 2 exons.
GCUCCAAUUGUGGACAGCAAUAAUAUUAUAAGAGUAGGAGGUAGGAUUCAAAGUAGUAAUCUUUCAGAGGAUGCUAAGCACCCUAUACUUCUCCCUUAUGAAGAUGAAAUUGUUCGUUUGUUAGUAAAUCAUAUACAUGUUAAACAUCUACACAUUGGACCACAGGGUUUACUAGCAAUAACCAGGCAAAAGUUUUGGAUUUUAAGAGUAGGAAUGGACUUCCUAGGUCCAAUUUGGAUACAUCAUAAAAUACGUGGAAAAAAGGCUGAUAAAGCUUAUGUCUGUGUCUUCGUGUGCUUUUCCACGAAGGCAGUACACUUAGAAGUAGUUUCAGAUCUUUCUUCAGCAGCUUUUAUAGGUGCCCUAAAAAGAUUUAUUUCUAGGAGAAGUUGCCCCCAUAAAAUCUAUUCAGAUAACGGGACCAAUUUUAUUGGAGCAGCCAAUAGUCUUCGCGAAGUUUUUAAGUUAUUUCAGAAAGACUCACAUAAAACAGAAUUAUCAAAAUUUUGUAAUCAAAGAGAAAUAACCUGGAUAAACAUACCAGCAAGAUCUCCACAUGUAGGAGGAAAUCAGUUAAAAAACAUUUUUUCCGAGUAGUUGAAGGUAUAAUGUCUUUUGAAGAAAUGUCCACACUCAUGACACAAAUAGAAGCCGUACUAAAUUCAAGACCUAUUACCCCAUUAUCAAACAAUCCUAAUGAUCUCCAGGUAUUAACACCAGGCCAUUUUUUGGUAGGAGAACCAUUAUCAACUAUCGUUGACUCGAACUACAACCAAAGUUACCAAGGGUUAAAGGACCAUUGGAAAUCGGUCGAAAAGAAUUCAAAAGAAUUCUGGAAGCGAUGGUCCAAUGAAUAUUUAAAUGAACUGCAAAAAAGAAAUAAAUGGCAAGUUCCUUUUGAAAACAUCAAAACUGGUACCUUGGUACUUCUUAAA